AGAAUUUUUCACAAUGGGCGAAAGCCUGAUGGAGCGACGCCGCGUGGGGGAUGAAUGGCUUCGGCCCGUAAACCCCUGUCAUUUGCGAGCAAAGACGCUUGUUUAAGAGAUGGGCGUACUGAUAGUAGCGACAGAGGAAGGGCCGGCUAACUCUGUGCCAGCAGCCGCGGUAAUACAGAGGUCCCAAGCGUUGUUCGGAUUUACUGGGCGUAAAGGGUGCGUAGGUGGCAGGGUAAGUUCGGUGUGAAAGCUUCGAGCUCAACUCGGAAAUGGCAUCGAAUACUAUUCUGCUUGAGGGUCGGAGGGGAGACUGGAAUUCUCGGUGUAGCAGUGAAAUGCGUAGAUAUCGAGAGGAACACCAGUGGCGAAGGCGGGUCUCUGGACGAUUCCUGACACUGAGGCACGAAAGCUAGGGGAGCAAAC
RNAcentral lists this ribosomal RNA (423 nucleotides) under uncultured bacterium. RNAcentral describes it as "bacterial SSU rRNA". It matches the Rfam family "Bacterial small subunit ribosomal RNA", at positions 358 to 773 of the family's 1533-position model. The record is from RNAcentral.